RNAcentral lists this transfer RNA (76 nucleotides) under Armatimonadota bacterium. RNAcentral's name for it is "Armatimonadetes bacterium (sediment metagenome) tRNA-Phe". It matches the Rfam family "tRNA". From Rfam's summary of the family: Transfer RNA (tRNA) molecules are approximately 80 nucleotides in length. Their secondary structure includes four short double-helical elements and three loops (D, anti-codon, and T loops). Further hydrogen bonds mediate the characteristic L-shaped molecular structure. tRNAs have two regions of fundamental functional importance: the anti-codon, which is responsible for specific mRNA codon recognition, and the 3' end, to which the tRNAs corresponding amino acid is attached (by aminoacyl-tRNA synthetases). tRNAs cope with the degeneracy of the genetic code in two manners: having more than one tRNA (with a specific anti-codon) for a particular amino acid; and 'wobble' base-pairing, i.e. permitting non-standard base-pairing at the 3rd anti-codon position. The record is from RNAcentral. Lineage: Bacteria; Bacillati; Armatimonadota.
GCCGCGGUAGCUCAGCUGGUAGAGCAACGGACUGAAAAUCCGUGGGUCGCCGGUUCGAUUCCGGCCUGCGGCACCA